Molecule: ribosomal RNA, 640 nt
Filed under: uncultured bacterium
Lineage: Bacteria
Description: bacterial SSU rRNA
Rfam family: Bacterial small subunit ribosomal RNA
Source: RNAcentral
GAGUUUGAUCAUGGCUCAGAUUGAACGCUGGCGGCAUGCCUUACACAUGCAAGUCGAACGGCAGCACGGACUUCGGUCUGGUGGCGAGUGGCGAACGGGUGAGUAAUACAUCGGAACGUACCCUGUUGUGGGGGAUAACUAGUCGAAAGAUUAGCUAAUACCGCAUACGACCUGAGGGUGAAAGUGGGGGACCGUAAGGCCUCACGCAGCAGGAGCGGCCGAUGUCUGAUUAGCUAGUUGGUGGGGUAAAGGCCCACCAAGGCGACGAUCAGUAGCUGGUCUGAGAGGACGAUCAGCCACACUGGGACUGAGACACGGCCCAGACUCCUACGGGAGGCAGCAGUGGGGAAUUUUGGACAAUGGGGGCAACCCUGAUCCAGCAAUGCCGCGUGUGUGAAGAAGGCCUUCGGGUUGUAAAGCACCUUUGUCCGGAAAGAAAUCGCUUCGGUUAAUACCUGGGGUGGAUGACGGUACCGGAAGAAUAAGCACCGGCUAACUACGUGCCAGCAGCCGCGGUAAUACGUAGGGUGCGAGCGUUAAUCGGAAUUACUGGGCGUAAAGCGUGCGCAGGCGGUUUUGUAAGACAGGCGUGAAAUCCCCGAGCUCAACUUGGGAAUUGCGCUUGUGACUGCAAGGCUAG